AGGCAGCCUCUUUUCUGAAUAUAUAAGAAUAGAAAAGAAGGUGUUGUUCUGCUCGUAAAUUAUACAAGGCAGCUUUUGCUCUUCAGAUUUGCUGAGAUUUUAUCAGAUCUUUGAAGCUGGUCUAGUAAGCAUUAGUACAUU
Molecule: non-coding RNA, 141 nt
Organism: Daucus carota subsp. sativus
Lineage: Eukaryota; Viridiplantae; Streptophyta; Magnoliopsida; Apiales; Apiaceae
Source: Rfam